This 1303-nucleotide ribosomal RNA is filed under the name Spathius agrili (emerald ash borer parasitic wasp). Its description in RNAcentral is "16S ribosomal RNA". Lineage: Eukaryota; Metazoa; Arthropoda; Insecta; Hymenoptera; Braconidae. The record is from RNAcentral.
AUUUAAAAAUUUAUUAAUUAAAUAAUUUUUUAAAUAAAAAAUAAAAAAAUCUAUUUUAAAUAUAAAUGUUAAAUAUUAAAAAUUCAAAAUUAAAAUAUUUUAAAAAUUAAAAUUUAAAUUUAAAAAAUUUUUAAGAAAAAUUUAUUAUUUUUUCCUUUUGUAUCAGGAUUAAUUAAAAUAUAAAUUUUAAUAAUAAAUUCUCGAAAUAAAAAAAAUUAUAUAAAAAUAUUAGUUAAUGUAAAAAAAUUAUUAAAAAUUUUUAUAUAGAAAUUAUAUAUUAUUCAAUUUUUAUAAUAUCUAGUUAUUUAAUAAAAAAUUCAACUUUUCUAUAAAUUAAAAUUUCUAACCCUCAUAAUUUAGAAAUUUAAUUUUUAUAAAUAAAUUUAAGGGAUAAACUUUAAAUUAUAAAAAAAUUAAAUAAAUUUUAUUAUAUAAAUAUAAAUUUUAAAAUUUUUAAUAUUAAUAAAAAUUUAAUAAUUAAUAAAUAAUAUAAAAACAAAAAUUUAAAUUUAAAUUUUAAUUUAAAUUAAAUUAUUAAAAAUAAUAUGAAACUUUAAAAAAUAAUAAUUAAAUUAGUAAAAUUUAUAAAUUUAAACAAAUUUAAAGAUUUAUUUAAUAAACUAGGCAAAUUUUAUAUUCAACUGUUUAACAAAAACAUUUCUUAUUGAAAUUAAUUUUAAGUAUAAUCUGCCCAAUGAAAUAAUUUAAAUGGCUGCAGUAUUUAUAACUGUACUAAGGUAGCAUAAUAACUUGUUUUUUAAUUAAAAACUAGAAUAAAAGAUUAAAUGAAAUAUAAACUAUAUCAAAUAAAAUAAAAAUUUAAUUUAUUAUUUAAGUAAAAAAACUUAAAUAAACUAAAAAGACAACAAGACCCUAUAGAAUUUUAUUUUUUUAAAAAAUUUACUUAAUUAAUUAAAUUUAAAUAAAAUUUUAAAAAAAUUUAAUUGGGGUAAUUAAAAAAUUUAAAAAAUUUUUUUAAAAAUUAACAAUAAUAAAUGAAAAUUAAUUAAUUAUCUUUAAUAAAAAUUAAUAAUAUUAAUUACCUUAGGGAUAACAGCAUAAUUUUUUUUAAAAGAUCAAAUUAAUAAAAAAGAUUAUGACCUCGAUGUUGAAUUAAGAUCAAAUUUAAACGAAAAAAUUUAAAAUUUAAGUCUGUUCGACUUUUAAAAUCUUACAUGAUUUGAGUUAAGAUCGGUGUAAGCCAGAUCAGUUUAUAUCUUUUAAAAAAAUUAAUAUAAUUGUACGAAAGGAAUUUAUAUUUUAAAUAAUUUAUAAUAUAAAAAUAAAUUUUAAUUUUUAAAAU